RNAcentral lists this ribosomal RNA (751 nucleotides) under uncultured Acidobacteriota bacterium. RNAcentral's name for it is "bacterial SSU rRNA". It matches the Rfam family "Bacterial small subunit ribosomal RNA", at positions 9 to 795 of the family's 1533-position model. Lineage: Bacteria; Pseudomonadati; Acidobacteriota. The record is from RNAcentral.
GAGUUUGAUCCUGGCUCAGAAUCAACGCUGGCGGCGCGCUUAACACAUGCAAGUCGAACGAGAAAAUUCCCUUCGGGGAGUGAGUAAAGUGGCGAACGGGUGAGUAACACGUGGGUUACCUGCCCUCGAGUGGGGAAUAACUCUGGGAAACCGGGGCUAACACCGCAUACGAUCCUUCGGGAUGAAAGUCUUCGACGCUCGAGGAGGGGCCCGCGGCCCGUUAGCUUGUUGUGGGGUAACGGCUCACCAAGGCAAAGAUCGGUAGCCGCCCUGAGAGGGCGCACGUCACACUGGCACUGAACACGGCCAGACUCCUACGGAGGCAGCAGUGAGGAAUCUUGGACAAUGGGGGAAACCCUGAUCCAGCGACGCCGCGUGAGUGAUGAAGCCUUUCGGGGUGUAAAGCUCUUUCAGCGGGGACAAUCAUGAUGGUACCGCACAAGCAGCUGCGGCUAACUACGUGCCAGCAGCCGCGGUAAUACGUAGGCAGCAAGCGUUGUUCGGAAUUACUGGGCGUAAAGCGAGUGUAGGCGGUCUGCCAAGUCUGUUGUGAAAUCUCCCGGCUCAACUGGGAGGGUGCGUCGGAAACUGGCAGGCUCGAGUGCGAGAGAGGAGAGUGGAAUUCCUGGUGUAGCGGUGGAAUGCGUAGAUAUCAGGAGGAACACCGGUGGUGAAGACGGCUCUCUGGAUCGCCACUGACGCUGAGACUCGAAAGCGUGGGGAGCAAACAGGAUUAGAUACCCUGGUAGUC